GGGUCUGUAGCUCAGCUGGUUAGAGCACUGUGUUGAUAACGCAGGGGUCGUAGGUUCAAGUCCUACCAGACCCACCA
Molecule: transfer RNA, 77 nt
Filed under: Polynucleobacter asymbioticus QLW-P1DMWA-1
Lineage: Bacteria; Pseudomonadati; Pseudomonadota; Betaproteobacteria; Burkholderiales; Burkholderiaceae
Also listed under: 104 other names
Description: tRNA-Ile (GAT) (tRNA-Ile-GAT-1-1)
Rfam family: tRNA
About the family: Transfer RNA (tRNA) molecules are approximately 80 nucleotides in length. Their secondary structure includes four short double-helical elements and three loops (D, anti-codon, and T loops).
Source: RNAcentral